AAAACCCAUUACAAUUUUUGGAUAUGCAAAAAUGGGAGUUGAGAGAAUUGCAGUAUUAGGGGUGGUGGUAGUGGUGACGAUGGUGAUGGGUAGCGCGUGGGUUAUAGCCCAGGAGGCGGCGGUGGCGGGUCGGGAGGCGCCAUGGAGGAUCCACACGCUUUUCUCUGUGGAGUGCCAGAAUUACUUUGAUUGGCAGACGGUUGGCCUCAUGCAUAGCUACCGGAAGGCCCGACAGCCUGGACCCAUAACCCGAUUACUCAGCUGUACCGAAGAGGAGAAGAAGAGUUACAGAGGGAUGGAGUUGGCACCUACCUUUGAGGUCCCCUCAAUGAGCACACACCCCAAAACUGGUGAUUGGUAUCCGGCAAUUAAUAAACCUGCAGGCGUUUUCCACUGGCUUAAACAUAGCAAAGAAGCACAAAAUGUCGACUGGGUAGUAAUUCUAGAUGCAGACAUGAUCAUUCGGGGUCCAAUUAUACCAUGGGAGCUUGGCGCCGAGAAAGGCAGGCCUGUUGCUGCAUACUACGGAUACUUGAUCGGAUGUGACAAUGAUCUUGCUAAGUUGCACACUAAGCACCCUGAACUCUGUGACAAGGUUGGUGGGCUUUUAGCCAUGCAUAUAGACGAUCUCCGAGCUUUAGCACCUAUGUGGCUGUCAAAAACAGAAGAAGUACGAGAGGACAGAGCUCAUUGGGGAACCAAUUAUACUGGUGAUAUAUAUGGGACAGGGUGGAUCAGUGAAAUGUAUGGAUACUCAUUUGGUGCUGCUGAGGUGGGACUUCGCCACAAAAUAAAUGAUAACUUGAUGAUUUACCCCGGAUAUAUUCCAAGAGAUGGCAUUGAGCCCAUUCUUAUGCACUAUGGCUUGCCUUUUAGUGUUGGAAAUUGGUCAUUCAGUAAAUUAGAACACCAUGAGGACAAUAUUGUCUAUGACUGUGGGCGGCUCUUUCCUGAACCUCCUUACCCUAGAGAGGUACAAGGAAUGGAAACAGAUCCAAACAAAAGGAGAGCACUAUUUCUAAAUCUAGAAUGUAUCAAUACCCUGAAUGAAGGUCUUCUAUUGCAACAUGCUGCAUAUGGGUGUCCCAAGCCGAAGUGGUCAAAAUACUUGAGUUUUUUGAAGAGUAAAACGUUUGCUGAACUAUCUCAGCCAAGAUCAGUGACACCUAAAAGUCUUCAAAUGAUGGAGGUUGAGCAUACGCAAACACAAGAACAAGCUAAUGAUCCUGGAACGCCAUAUCCAAAAAUCCAUACCAUUUUCUCAACAGAAUGCUCCCCUUACUUUGAUUGGCAGACUGUGGGGCUGGUUCACAGUUUUCACCUGAGUGGCCAACCUGGAAAUAUCACGAGACUUCUUAGUUGUACGGAAGAAGAUCUGAAGCAGUAUAAAGGCCAUGAUUUAGCUCCCACACAUUAUGUUCCAUCCAUGAGUCGACAUCCUCUAACUGGUGAUUGGUAUCCAGCAAUUAAUAAGCCAGCUGCUGUUCUUCAUUGGCUCAAUCAUGCAAAAAUAGAUGCGGAGUAUAUAGUAAUCCUUGAUGCUGACAUGAUAAUUAGAGGUCCGAUCACACCAUGGGAAUUCAAUGCAGCCCGUGGGAGACCUGUUUCCACUCCCUAUGACUACUUGAUUGGCUGUGACAAUGACCUUGCAAAGAUGCACACCCGUCAUCCAGAUGCUUGCAACAAGGUUGGAGGUGUGAUCAUAAUGCAUAUAAAUGACCUCAGGAGAUUUGCUCUACUGUGGUUGCAUAAAACCGAGGAGGUCCGGGCUGACACGGCUCAUUGGUCAAGAAACAUAACCGGGGACGUGUAUGAAUCUGGAUGGAUCAGCGAGAUGUAUGGUUACUCGUUUGGCGCAGCAGAGCUGAAUUUGCAUCACAUCAUUAGCAACGAAAUUUUGAUAUAUCCGGGAUAUGUUCCUGCACCUGGUGUGAAGUAUAGAGUAUUCCACUAUGGCUUGGAAUUUAGCGUUGGAAACUGGAGCUUUGAUAAAGCAAAAUGGAGAAGCGCUGAUUUGGUUAACAAAUGUUGGGCUAAGUUUCCUGAACCUCCUGAUCCAUCAACCCUCGAUCGAACCGAUGAGAAUGCAUUACAGCGUGAUUUGCUAAGCAUAGAAUGUGGAAAUGCACUGAAUGAAGCUCUACGCCUACAUCACGAGAAGAAGAAAUGCCCUGAUCCCACUUCCAUCUCCUCUCCAGUUCGAGAGAGUCCUGAUUCCAUAUUGUUGUCUCCUCCAAAUCAAGAAACAGCCAGUGAGGUUACGACUUCAAGGAAAUUUGGAAAGAUUGAGGAAAUUAGUACCUUAAUUCGCAGUCCUGAUCUAAAGAACAAAUCUCGGGAAUUAUCGCAGCCGGCUAUGGCAAAGGAAACAUUCACUUCCAUGAGAUUCUGGAUAAUUGGCCUUUGGGCAUUUUCGAUCUUUGUAUUUAUCACAGUAAUGUCUGUGAUGCUUUCCAGUCGCAAGGGGCAGAAGAAAAAAGGUAGAAGUUUUAAGACCAAGAGACGAGCCUCGCAUUCAGGAAUCUGGGAGCCGAUUGGAAAUGAUAGGCAUCUCCGAAGUGCUGAAAUAGCAUAAAAUGAAUGAGAAAAUGCACCUGAAAUUCCGUGCUGGUAUAUAUAAAUUGCCCAAAUGAUGAAAAACGUCUUAUCCAGGUAGUCAGUGUAGCAUACUCAACCCGAAGUGGGUCGAGAUCUGCUUUCUUAAGGUGUGUGAGGAGAUUUUUGAUUUGUUGAAUCUUGUAGCUGGGUCCUCCGAAUACUGAACAGUUUCUGGGCGGAGCAUAAUUUGGAAUUCAAAAUUACAGAAUGAGAAGUCCAUCAAGCCCAAUGGAUCCACAGCACUAGCAUCAAUAACAGAUCUGUUAUGUGGCCCAUUCUCAUCAGCAGCUGCCCAUUUAAGUCCAGAUAUGCAGAAGGCCAUUUCUGAUACGCAAGACUAGCUAUCUAUGACAAUUAUAACAGAUUAGUGUGAUGUCUAAUUCUUUCUUUGGCUAAAUGUAUAGAAUUGGUUAGGCUAAAAUAUUCUUUUGUUCCUUCCAUAUGUACAGAGCUUUAGAUGCUCUUCUUAUGUAAUUAUUCAUUUUUUUUUCUGU
Olea europaea var. sylvestris is the source of this 3092-nucleotide RNA transcript. It is a transcript of the gene named peptidyl serine alpha-galactosyltransferase, with no coding region annotated. Lineage: Eukaryota; Viridiplantae; Streptophyta; Magnoliopsida; Lamiales; Oleaceae. The record is from RefSeq and is a predicted model, not a curated record. The transcript is spliced from 9 exons.